GAUGAACGCUGGCGGCGUGCCUAAUACAUGCAAGUCGAGCGAACAGACGAGGAGCUUGCUCCUCUGACGUUAGCGGCGGACGGGUGAGUAACACGUGGAUAACCUACCUAUAAGACUGGGAUAACUUCGGGAAACCGGAGCUAAUACCGGAUAAUAUAUUGAACCGCAUGGUUCAAUAGUGAAAGACGGUUUUGCUGUCACUUAUAGAUGGAUCCGCGCCGCAUUAGCUAGUUGGUAAGGUAACGGCUUACCAAGGCAACGAUGCGUAGCCGACCUGAGAGGGUGAUCGGCCACACUGGAACUGAGACACGGUCCAGACUCUUACGGGAGGCAGCAGUAGGGAAUCUUCCGCAAUGGGCGAAAGCCUGACGGAGCAACGCCGCGUGAGUGAUGAAGGUCUUCGGAUCGUAAAACUCUGUUAUUAGGGAAGAACAAAUGUGUAAGUAACUUUGCACGUCUUGACGGUACCUAAUCAGAAAGCCACGGCUAACUACGUG
Molecule: ribosomal RNA, 497 nt
Filed under: uncultured bacterium
Lineage: Bacteria
Description: partial 16S ribosomal RNA
Rfam family: Bacterial small subunit ribosomal RNA
Source: RNAcentral